Molecule: ribosomal RNA, 1095 nt
Filed under: Xanthomonas citri pv. citri
Lineage: Bacteria; Pseudomonadati; Pseudomonadota; Gammaproteobacteria; Lysobacterales; Lysobacteraceae
Description: partial 23S ribosomal RNA
Rfam family: Bacterial large subunit ribosomal RNA
Source: RNAcentral
GUCCGGAGUAGUGUCCGGUGGCCCUGCCCUGAAUGUAUAGGGGUGUGGGUGGUAACGCGGGGAAGUGAAACAUCUUAGUACCCGUAGGAAGAGAAAACAAGUGUGAUUCCGUGAGUAGUGGCGAGCGAAAGCGGAGGAGGCUAAACCGUGUGUGUGUUCAAGCCGGCAGGUGUUGCAUGUGCGGGGUUGUGGGGGCCUUGUGGUUCUGCUGCCGCAGGAUUGGCCAGUGAGAAAUGUUGCGUGAAGGUGAAGCGUCUGGGAAGGCGUACCGGAGUGGGUGAGAGUCCUGUAACUGUAAGCGUGGCACUGGUGUGGGGUUGCCCCGAGUAGCGUGGGACUCGUGGAAUUUCGCGUGAAUCUGGCGGGACCACCCGUCAAGCCUAAAUACUCCUUGGUGACCGAUAGUGGAUGAGUACCGUGAGGGAAGGGUGAAAAGUACCCCGGGAGGGGAGUGAAAGAGUUCCUGAAACCGGUCGCAUGCAAGCCGUCAGAGCCUGUGUGGUGAUGGCGUGCCUUUUGAAGAAUGAGCCUGCGAGUUAGUGAUGCGUGGCGAGGUUAACCCGUGGUGGGGGAGUCGUAGCGAAAGCGAGUCCGAUAAGGGCGUGAGUCGCGUGUUCUAGACCCGAAGCGGUGUGAUCUAUCCAUGGCCAGGAUGAAGCGUCGGUAAGACGUCGUGGAGGUCCGAACCCACUUCAGUUGAAAAUGGAGGGGAUGAGUUGUGGAUAGGGGUGAAAGGCCAAUCAAACACCGUGAUAGCUGGUUCUCCCCGAAAUGCAUUUAGGUGCAGCGUUGCGUGGUUCUUGUUGGAGGUAGAGCACUGGAUGGUCUAGGGGGCUUAUCGGCUUACCGAAAUCAGCCAAACUCCGAAUGCUGGCAAGUGUAGCGUGGCAGUGAGACGGCGGGGGAUAAGCUUCGUCGUCGAGAGGGAAACAGCCCAGAUCAUCAGCUAAGGCCCCUAAGUGGUGACUCAGUGGGAAAGGAUGUGGAGUUGCGUAGACAACCAGGAGGUUGGCUUGGAAGCAGCCAUCCUUGAAAGAGUGCGUAAUAGCUCACUGGUCAAGUGAUUCCGCGCCGAUAAUGUAGCGGGGCUUAAGU